RNAcentral lists this unclassified non-coding RNA (283 nucleotides) under Hevea brasiliensis (rubber tree). The record is from RNAcentral. Lineage: Eukaryota; Viridiplantae; Streptophyta; Magnoliopsida; Malpighiales; Euphorbiaceae.
AUGGGUAUUAUAAUUGUUGUUGUGGGCCUGAGGCCCAGUGUAUUAUUGUUGGUUCAUUUUUUUACAGGAGAGUUAGGUCCAGUUAUAGGAAAAAUUCUGUCAAAAUUUUAGCAAAACUUUAGGAUUUAUUUUGAUUCUAUGGCUUAAAUUAAUUAUUUAAUUUUGUCAGUCUUUUGAUAGAGGUCAGUGUGUAUAUUUAGGUGAUCGAUGCAGGCCAUCUUCUCCUUCCAGUUGGAUUAGCUGUAGUACAGUGUACUCGUCUGUGAGUUGGAUAUUGAUUAUU